CCUACGGUGUGCAGCAGUGGGGGAUAUUGCACAAUGGGGGAAACCCUGAUGCAGCGACGCCGCGUGUGGGAAGACGGUCCUCUGGAUUGUAAACCACUGUCCCCAGGGACGAAAAUGACGGUACCUUGGGAGGAAGCUCCGGCUAACCACGUGCCGGCAGCCGCGGUAAUACGUAGGGAGCGAGCGUUGUCCGGAAUUACUGGGUGUAAAGGGAGCGUAGGCGGGGAUGCAGGUUGGGUGUCAAAACUACCGGCUCAACUGGUAGUCGCACUCAAAACUGCAGCUCUUGGGUGAAGUAGAGGCAGGCGGAAUUCCUAGUGUAGCGGUGAAAUGCGUAGAUAGUAGGAGGAACACCAGUGGCGAAGGCGGCCUGCUGGGCUUUUACUGACGCUGAGGCUCGAAAGCGUGGGGAUCAAACAGGAUUAGAUACCCCAGUAGUC
Molecule: ribosomal RNA, 440 nt
Filed under: uncultured bacterium
Lineage: Bacteria
Description: partial 16S ribosomal RNA
Rfam family: Bacterial small subunit ribosomal RNA
Source: RNAcentral